GAAAUAAGUAAUUCAAAGUUAAGCUUCUAACUUAAACUUUAAGCGACGAAAUUUCGUUUUUAUUUCUU
This 68-nucleotide transfer RNA is filed under the name Callispa bowringii. RNAcentral describes it as "tRNA-Ser". Lineage: Eukaryota; Metazoa; Arthropoda; Insecta; Coleoptera; Chrysomelidae. The record is from RNAcentral.